This 698-nucleotide unclassified non-coding RNA is filed under the name Hevea brasiliensis (rubber tree). Lineage: Eukaryota; Viridiplantae; Streptophyta; Magnoliopsida; Malpighiales; Euphorbiaceae. The record is from RNAcentral.
AAAUAUAGAUAUACAGACUUAAAUGUUUUGGAAGAAGAAAUAGUUAACAUUGAUGGUAGUAUAUUAGCGUUGGGGGCUGGAAGAGUCUGUUCGGCUUUGACGUUUCUUCCUGUAUCUCCAAGCAACUUGUAUUUGCCUUGCUGCCAGCCCUCGCCAAUAUGGAGAUUCAUACCUUAGGGCACCUUGGACACGUGGGCUCCUCAAGAAUCUUGCGAAAAGAUUAGUGACUUCUUCAAGAUCUGAAGCUCGUAAUAUAAAUGCUUCAACAUUUGUAAGGCACCUGACUAGUCUGUUGCUCAGCAAUCUGUGUCCUGGAAUUCUGACCUUUUUCCCAUCUCUGCUUAUAGAAGAAUGCUCAAGGCACCAUGUGAGGAGUUCUUCCCCACAGGCAUCCCCUUCAGACAAGGAGGCCACAUUUCCAUCUUCUCCAAUGCUUUCCAUCUUACCUCGAAUUAUGAAAACCAUCUUGUCAACUAGACCACCACGGUAUAAAACUUUGCUUCCUGCUAUGUAUGUUUUCUGUCUCAACCUCUCACAGAUGGCAUCUAUAAUAGGUUCAUCUAGAAGUGCAAAUAUUCGAACCUUUUUGAUGAAUUUAAAAAGAUGUCUCCUUAUAUCUCUUUGAAGAUCUUCAGGAAGAUUCUCUAGUAGCAUUUCUUCAUUGACCCCUCGGGUAGCUGCCCAAUUAUAUCUCUCCG